CGUUAAUUUUUCCUAGAUGAGAUCAGGAACCGUAUUAAUGGGGAAAAAAAUCUUCGUUUCAAAAAUUAAUUUUAGUGCGAAUGCAAAUAAAUUAAUAUCACAAGCGGGAUUGCAAAAUGCCGCGCCUUUUACACUGAGUUAUUUUUCUUUUACCUAUGUAGUCAAGACUCAAGAGGGAAAGAACUAGAAUUUCCUUGGAAGGGUCUGUAAAAAGCUGCGGUUUCAUUUCGCCGUCAGCUAUUACCUCCUGAAGAGCAGCCUUAACGCCCAAGGAGACUGCGUCAAGACAACCAAGAAGUGGAUUAAGGCAUGGACGGAUUGGAAGUCCGCGGUUAAAAAGAAGGCAGCAGAUAUUGCUGCCUCAAGGAAUAAAACGGGUGGUGGGCCAUCCACAUCCAAAUCGUUGAGUUCCUUGGAGGAAAGGUGUGUGGCACUUAUAGCUGGGAUAGCUAUUACAGGGAUGAAUGUCCCAGACCCUGCAAGUGAUGAGGAGAUUGCAGAAGUCUCACAGACACCAAAGAGGCCAAUGAGCCAGGAUGGGAGUGCCUCCAAAAAAAAGGAGAGUAGAGACCCCUACAAAUCAUUUGGAUGAAAGGAUUCAUUCUCUAGAGAACAUGCAGGAUGAAGGAAUGCAGAAAAUCUGCCAAAAAAUUGAUAAUUUAGUUUCGUCGAUAGACAAUCUGACUAAAACAAUAAACCAGAAUGGUGAAAGUAUUACACGCGCCGUAACGCAUGUAGGCAAUCUGCUGUAUGCUUCGCUCGAUAGAAUAUUUAAUAAAAUUUGAAAAAUUA
Long non-coding RNA from Uloborus diversus, 792 nucleotides. RefSeq lists it as uncharacterized. The transcript has 3 exons. The record is from RefSeq and is a predicted model, not a curated record. Lineage: Eukaryota; Metazoa; Arthropoda; Arachnida; Araneae; Uloboridae.